RNAcentral lists this ribosomal RNA (486 nucleotides) under uncultured bacterium. RNAcentral describes it as "bacterial SSU rRNA". It matches the Rfam family "Bacterial small subunit ribosomal RNA", at positions 28 to 511 of the family's 1533-position model. The record is from RNAcentral.
GAUGAACGCUAGCGGCAGGCCUAAUACAUGCAAGUCGAACGGUAGAUCGGGUAGCAAUACUUGAUUGAGAGUGACGUAAGGGUGCGUAACACGUAUGCAAUCUACCCUCAACAGGAGUAUAGCUCGGGGAAACUCGGAUUAACACUCCAUAACAUUACGAUGUGGCAUCACAUUGUGAUUAAAACUCCGGUGGUUGAGGAUGAGCAUGCGUCUGAUUAGUUAGUUGGAGGUGUAACGGACCCCCAAGACGAUGAUCAGUAGGGGAACUGAGAGGUUGAUCCCCCACACUGGCACUGAGAUACGGGCCAGACUCCUACGGGAGGCAGCAGUAGGGAAUAUUGGUCAAUGGGUGAGAGCCUGAACCAGCCAUGCCGCGUGCAGGAAGACGGCCUUCUGGGUUGUAAACUGCUUUUAUCUGGGGAUAAAAAGCCCAUGCGUGGGACAUUGAAGGUACCAGAUGAAUAAGCACGGCUAACUACGUGCCAG